GGUCAAGUUAGUAAGGGCGUACGGUGGAUGCCUAGGCGCCAGGAGCCGAAGAAGGACGUAGAAAGCUGCGAAAAGCCACGGUGAGCCGCAAGCAGGCGUAGACCCGUGGGUGUCCGAAUGGGGGAACCCGGCGGGGGUAAUACCCCGUCACCCUGUGCUGAACCCAUAGGCACAGAGGAGGCAACCCGGGGAACUGAAACAUCUAAGUACCCGGAGGAAAAGAAAACAACAGUGAUUCCGUAAGUAGCGGCGAGCGAACGCGGAGGAGCCCAAACCCUCCUGGAGGUUAGAGGUUAGAAGUUAGAGGUUAGAUUAAGAAGGAAUUCGCGGAAGCGAAUUCCAACACAAUCCAACUUCCAACAUCUAAUUUCCAACCUCUAGGAGGGGGUAGCGGGACUCUCGUUAAGGCUAAGGAACCUAGCCGAACCGUCUGGAAAGGCGGAGCACAGAAGGUGACACUCCUGUAGGCGAAAGGGGAAAUAGCUGAGAGAGGAUCCCAAGUACCACGGGACACGGGGAAUCCCGUGGGAAUCAGGGAGGACCACCUCCUAAGGCUAAAUACUCCCUGGCGACCGAUAGUGAACAAGUACCGUGAGGGAAAGGUGAAAAGCACCCCGGGAGGGGAGUGAAAAAGAACCUGAAACCGUAUGCUUACAAGCAGUCGGAGCGCCAUAAGAGCGUAACGGCGUGCCUUUUGUAGAAUGAACCGGCGAGUUACGGUAGCUAGCGAGGUUAAGUACUUAAGGUACGGAGCCGCAGGGAAACCGAGUCUGAAAAGGGCGAGGAGUUAGUUGCCGUAGACCCGAAACCGGGUGAUCUACCCAUGUCCAGGGUGAAGCUAAGGUAAGACUUGGUGGAGGCCCGAACCGACCGACGUUGAAAAGUCGGCGGAUGAGGUGUGGGUAGGGGUGAAAUGCCAAUCGAACUCGGAGAUAGCUGGUUCUCCCCGAAAUAGCUUUAGGGCUAGCCUUAAGGGAUGGUUUAUGGAGGUAGAGCACUGAAUGGGCUAGGGGCCCUACCAGGUUACCGAACCCUAUCAAACUCCGAAUGCCAUAAACUUACCUUAGGAGUCAGACUACGAGUGCUAAGAUCCGUAGUCGAGAGGGAAACAGCCCAGACCGUCAGCUAAGGUCCCAAAGUCCGUGCUAAGUGGAAAAGGAUGUGGGAUUGCACAGACAACCAGGAUGUUGGCUUAGAAGCAGCCAUCAUUUAAAGAGUGCGUAAUAGCUCACUGGUCGAGUGGCCCUGCGCCGAAAAUGAACCGGGGCUAAGCACGGCACCGAAGCUACGGAUUGAGAUGUGUCAAUAGUGCUCUUAGAGAGUGCUUAGACACGGUGAAUUAAGCGAAAACCAAUCGCUGUUAAGCGGUUAGAUGAAAGGUUUUCGCCAAAUGCCUCAGGCUAAGCAUGAAGGCUGAGAGUAGUAUUGACACAUCUCAGUGGUAGGGGAGCGUUCUGUACACGUCGAAGGUAUACCGUGAGGAGUGCUGGAGAGUACAGAAGAGAGAAUGCCGGUAUGAGUAAGCGAGAAGGCAGGUGAGAAUCCUGCCCGCCGGAAGCCUAAGGAUUCCUGGGGAAGGCUCGUCCGCCCAGGGUAAGCCGGGACCUAAGCCGAGGCCUAAGGGCGUAGGUGAUGGGAAAUCGGUUGAGAAUCCGAUGCCACCCACAGCCGUUUGAGGAAGGGAUGACACAGGAGGGUAGGCUAAGCCAGCGGAUGGAAGAGCUGGUCCAAGCGAGUAGGGCGUGUGGUAGGCAAAUCCGCCACACAUAGAGCCUGAGACGUGAAGGGGAACGAAAUUAGAGUAGUGAAGUAGCUGAUCCCACACUGUCGAGAAAAGUCUCUAACGAGGCAAGUGGGUGCCCGUACCGCAAACCGACACAGGUAGGUAGGGAGAGAAUCCUAAGGCGCGCGAGAGAACCCUUGUUAAGGAACUCGGCAAAAUGACCCCGUAACUUCGGGAGAAGGGGUACCUCAGUAGUGUGAAGGGUAGACAUCCGGAGCACGAAGAGGUCGCAGAGGAGAGGCCCAAGCGACUGUUUACCAAAAACACAGGUGCCUGCUAAGUGGAAACACGACGUAUAGGUGCUGACGCCUGCCCGGUGCUGGAAGGUUAAGAGGAGGGGUUAGCCUGAGAGGGCGAAGCUCUGAAUUGAAGCCCCAGUAAACGGCGGCCGUAACUAUAACGGUCCUAAGGUAGCGAAAUUCCUUGUCGGGUAAGUUCCGACCCGCACGAAAGGCGUAACGAUUUGGGCGCUGUCUCAACAAGGGGCUCGGUGAAAUUGUAAUACCCGUGAAGAUGCGGGUUACCUGCGACAGGACAGAAAGACCCCGUGGAGCUUUACUGUAGCCUGACAUUGGAUUUUGGUACGUCAUGUACAGGAUAGGUGGGAGACAGAGAAGCAUGGACGCCAGUCUGUGCGGAGUCGUCGGUGGGAUACCACCCUUGAGGUAUUGAAGUUCUAACCCACGUCCGUAAGCCGGAUGGGGGACAGUGUCAGGUGGGCAGUUUGACUGGGGCGGUCGCCUCCCAAAGAGUAACGGAGGCGCCCAAAGGUUCCCUCAGACUGGUUGGAAAUCAGUCGUAGAGUGUAAAGGCAGAAGGGAGCUUGACUGCGAGACCGACGGGUCGAGCAGGGACGAAAGUCGGGCUUAGUGAUCCGGUGGUUCCGAGUGGAAGGGCCAUCGCUCAACGGAUAAAAGCUACCCCGGGGAUAACAGGCUUAUCUCCCCCAAGAGUCCACAUCGACGGGGAGGUUUGGCACCUCGAUGUCGGCUUAUCGCAUCCUGGGGCUGAAGUAGGUCCCAAGGGUUGGGCUGUUCGCCCAUUAAAGCGGUACAUGAGCUGGGUUCAGAACGUCGUGAGACAGUUCGGUCCCUAUCCGUCGCAGGCGCAGGAAACUUGAGAGGAGCUGUCCCUAGUACGAGAGGACCGGGAUGGACAGACCGCUGGUGCACCAGUUGUCUCGCCAGAGGCACAGCUGGGUAGCUAUGUCUGGAGCGGAUAAGCGCUGAAAGCAUCUAAGCGCGAAACCGACCUCAAGAUAAGGUUUCCCAUGGAGUUAAUCCAGUAAGACCCCUGGCAGACUACCAGGUAGAUAGGCCGGGAGUGUAAGUACAGUAAUGUAUUGAGCUAACCGGUACUAAUAGGUCGAGGACUUGACCUA
Thermincola sp. is the source of this 3164-nucleotide ribosomal RNA. It matches the Rfam family "Bacterial large subunit ribosomal RNA". The record is from Rfam. Lineage: Bacteria; Bacillati; Bacillota; Clostridia; Eubacteriales; Thermincolaceae.